Molecule: long non-coding RNA, 1142 nt
Organism: Thalassophryne amazonica
Lineage: Eukaryota; Metazoa; Chordata; Actinopteri; Batrachoidiformes; Batrachoididae
Exons: 3
Source: RefSeq, a predicted model, not a curated record
CUGAACCCUAAAUAUCAACCACCAUCCAGGGAUGACCUAUCCAACACCUUAAUACCUGCAUGGUAUUCUGUUGUGAAACAGAAUGUCAUCCAACAGCUUGCACACGUCAGCAAAACUGCAAUUACUUGCGAUGGAUGGACCAGCGUGGCACAGGACCACUAUCUGACAGUGACUGUUCACUACAUUUACAAGGGCAGCAUCCAGCAGAAAGUUCUGAGCACUGAAGCAGUUUAUGAGGCUCAGACAGGGCUAGUGGUGGCAGAGGAAAUCCACAAAAUUCUUGAGGAGUUCAAGUUGACUGGAAAAGUCCUUGCUGCCACAGUUGACAAUGCAAGCAACUUGGAUGUUGCACUGAAAAAUUUAAAAUUUUUAAAAGUUGGAUGCUUUGCCCACACACUCAACCUGGCAGCACAGAAGGUGUAUGGCAUCCAAGCUGUGACCAGGUGGUGUGCAAAGAUCCGUGCAGUGGUGGUGUGGUUGAAGCGCUCCACCAUGAGCAAAACUGUUUUGAGAGAGAAGCAACGACUCCUCAGUAAAUAGCAUUAAUAUAAUCAUGAUACAUUUAAAUAUAAGAAGUUGUUUAUUGUAAUUCAAAUGUCUGUGUUUUAGAUUUGCCAGAGCAUAAUGUUAUCCUUGAUGUGAGGACUCGCUGGAAUUCUCUGUACAUCAUGGUUGAGCGGUUUGUGGAGCAGUUCCCUGCAAUCCAGGCAGCUUGCCUCGAUCACAGGCUGAGGAAGCCAAUGGAGAGGGACAGCUUCCACUAGAGGACCAUCAUCAGAGUGAGGCAGAAGUAGGUGGUGAUGGUGAGGUGGAGCAAGAGGACACACAUCAAAGAGGAGCUCACAGGAUGUCAGCCUUGGAGCAGUUAUUUGCGGAUGAAGACCGGGAACUUCUCCACACAACUAUGAGCACAAGCAGUGCCCUCUCUAUCACGGAGCAGGUCAAGAAAGAGAUUGAGCUCUACAAAGGCAUGCCAGCAAUCACAUCUGGACAAGACCCUGUGGCUUGGUGGUGGGGUAAGAGGGAUACCCUCCCUAAUUUGUCUGCCUUGUCAGAGGUGUAUUUGUGCGUGCAGGCCUCCUCAACCCCCUCUGAGAGGGUUUUCUCCUGUGCUGGACAUGCAAUUAGCCAGGAAAGAUGCC